CCUACGGGUGGCUGCAGUGGGGAAUAUUGGACAAUGGGCGAAAGCCUGAUCCAGCCAUGCCGCAUGUGUGAAGAAGGCCUUCGGGUUGUAAAGCACUUUCAGUGGGGAAGAAAGCCUUGGGGCUAAUACCCUCGAGGAAGGACAUCACCCACAGAAGAAGCACCGGCUAACUCCGUGCCAGCAGCCGCGGUAAUACGGAGGGUGCGAGCGUUAAUCGGAAUUACUGGGCGUAAAGCGCGCGUAGGCGGUCUGAUAAGCCGGUUGUGAAAGCCCCGGGCUCAACCUGGGAACGGCAUCCGGAACUGUCAGGCUAGAGUGCAGGAGAGGAAGGUAGAAUUCCCGGUGUAGCGGUGAAAUGCGUAGAGAUCGGGAGGAAUACCAGUGGCGAAGGCGGCCUUCUGGACUGACACUGACGCUGAGGUGCGAAAGCGUGGGUAGCAAACAGGAUUAGAUACCCCUGUAGUC
This 465-nucleotide ribosomal RNA is filed under the name Vreelandella stevensii. RNAcentral describes it as "partial 16S ribosomal RNA". It matches the Rfam family "Bacterial small subunit ribosomal RNA", at positions 338 to 795 of the family's 1533-position model. Lineage: Bacteria; Pseudomonadati; Pseudomonadota; Gammaproteobacteria; Oceanospirillales; Halomonadaceae. The record is from RNAcentral.